GCAUACGGCCACAUGACCCUGAACACGCCCGAUCUCGUCUGAUCUCGGAAACUAAGCAAGGUCGGGCCUGGUUAGUACUCGGAUGGGAGACCGCCUGGCAAUACCAGGUGCUGUAGGCU
Molecule: ribosomal RNA, 119 nt
Organism: Cebus imitator (Panamanian white-faced capuchin)
Lineage: Eukaryota; Metazoa; Chordata; Mammalia; Primates; Cebidae
Source: Ensembl